Small nuclear RNA from Loxodonta africana (African savanna elephant), 100 nucleotides. The record is from Ensembl. NCBI's taxonomy places the organism in Eukaryota, Metazoa, Chordata, Mammalia, Proboscidea, Elephantidae.
UCACUUUUGUAGUGCAUAUACUAAAAUUGAACCGAUACAAAGAUUAGCAUGGCCCCUGCAUAAGGAUGACACACAAAUUCGUGAAGCAUUCCAUGUUUUU